GAUGAACGCUGGCGGCGUGCCUAAUACAUGCCAGUCGAGCGAACGGACGAGAAGCUUGCUUCUCUGAUGUUAGCGGCGGACGGGUGAGUAACACGUGGAUAACCUACCUAUAAGACUGGGAUAACUUCGGGAAACCGGAGCUAAUACCGGAUGAUAUUUUGAACCGCAUGGUUCAAAAGUGAAAGACGGUCUUGCUGUCACUUAUAGAUGGAUCCGCGCUGCAUUAGCUAGUUGGUAAGGUAACGGCUUACCAAGGCAACGAUGCAUAGCCGACCUGAGAGGGUGAUCGGCCACACUGGAACUGAGACACGGUCCAGACUCCUACGGGAGGCAGCAGUAGGGAAUCUUCCGCAAUGGGCGAAAGCCUGACGGAGCAACGCCGCGUGAGUGGUGAAGGUCUUCGGAUCGUAAAACUCUGUUAUUAGGGAAGAACAUAUGUGUAAGUAACUGUGCACAUCUUGACGGUACCUAAUCAGAAAGCCACGGCUAACUACGUG
Molecule: ribosomal RNA, 497 nt
Filed under: uncultured bacterium
Lineage: Bacteria
Description: partial 16S ribosomal RNA
Rfam family: Bacterial small subunit ribosomal RNA
Source: RNAcentral